GAAAUGCGAUACGUAAUGCGAAUUGCAGAAUUCAGUGAAUCAUCAAAUCUUUGAACGCAAAUUGCGCUUCUUGGAUAGGCCAGGAAGCAUGCCUCUUUGAGCAUCGUUUUCACCCCAGCUCGACAGCUUUCUUGAUUGCAAAGCACGGUCGGAUAAUGAGCUGUCUCAUCAGAAAUAGAUGAGUCGCUUGAAAUGAGGUGAGGUUCUUAACUUUGCUAGUGCGCCGUACCCUUCGGGAAUAUGGGCUUGGUCUUUGGACUGAUCGCUAGCGACGUGGAUAAUUUUCUAUUUACGUUGUUAAUGCCGGUCGGCUGAACGACUUAGUACUGCACUGACAUAACAUAGACUCAGUGGAAAUUAAAUUCUUUCUUGAAUUAGAUCUCAAAUGAAGCAAGACUAC
This 400-nucleotide unclassified non-coding RNA is filed under the name uncultured fungus. RNAcentral describes it as "sequence contains ITS1". The stretch from base 1 to 106 matches the Rfam family "5.8S ribosomal RNA", at positions 50 to 154 of the family's 154-position model. Lineage: Eukaryota; Fungi. The record is from RNAcentral.